Dendronephthya gigantea is the source of this 708-nucleotide long non-coding RNA. RefSeq lists it as uncharacterized. The transcript is spliced from 2 exons. NCBI's taxonomy places the organism in Eukaryota, Metazoa, Cnidaria, Anthozoa, Malacalcyonacea, Nephtheidae. The record is from RefSeq and is a predicted model, not a curated record.
AUAUUUCCUCAUUCAAGCAAUCUAGCGCUACGGAACAGAGCUGAGCUGAGCUGUGCGAGGUCUGAAGUCGACAAAUUAAACGAAAAGAUGUAUUGGUCUUUAUCUUUGGUACUUGUAUGUUUAUUGGUAACAAAUGUUUAUGAAUCUGCCACUGCAACGUCAUCAUUAAUAGUGCCUACGAGUAUUCACGUCAAAACGGCAAAUACAGCUACGGUCAAUAUGACAUUGCCAGUAGCCCCUCUCCCGACUGCUUCUGCAUCGCAUGAUCAGGGCGUAUCUAAUCGUACGAUGCAAAAGCCUGGUCCUAAGCCUGGUCCUGCAACGAUAUCAAACGAAAUGUCCGCUUCAUCCACCGUGAAUUCAACAAACACACCUGGUGGCGGAAAAUCAGCGUCGUCAGUUGUCACACAUACAUCUGUCCUCUUCGUCGCUUGCUUGUUCCUGGGUAGUUUUCUAACCUAAAUUCUCUUUUGACGAAUACUGGAAUAUCGGUUUAGACGUAAAAUCUAUCGUAAUAUCGUCCCAUUUCCAGACAUCUUAUAGUAUCUUACAUUUUCUUAACUUUUUAUGCAUGUUCUUAGUCCAGAUCAUUGUAAAGCUUUUCUACUAAUAUAUAUCCCGCUUUGUUAGUAAAUUCAACAUAACCGUAAACUCAAGUGGAAAGUGUUUUUUUCUUCUAGUUAUUAAAACAUUGAAACACGCGUGGAA